Molecule: ribosomal RNA, 777 nt
Filed under: Pilea longifolia
Lineage: Eukaryota; Viridiplantae; Streptophyta; Magnoliopsida; Rosales; Urticaceae
Description: eukaryotic LSU rRNA
Rfam family: 5.8S ribosomal RNA (bases 305-460)
Source: RNAcentral
GCUGCCCGCGACAUUGCGAGAAGUCCACUKGAACCUUAUCAUUUAGAGGAARGGAGAAGUCGUAACMAGGUUUCCGUAGGUGAACCUGCGGAAGGAUCAUUGUCGAAACCUGCAAAGCAGAACGACCCGUGAACACGUUAUUACCCUAACUCGGCAAUGUGUGGGCCUCGUCCCAAAACAUUCUCGAACAUAACUAAUCAUCGAGCGCGGUAUGCGCCAAGGAAAAUGUAAAGAACAUAACCGCCCUGUUGUGACCUCGAAACGUUGGUCGCCUCGGGGAUGCGUUUGUUCCAUAAGUCAAAACGACUCUCGGCAACGGAUAUCUCGGCUCUCGCAUCGAUGAAGAACGUAGCGAAAUGCGAUACGUGGUGUGAAUUGCAGAAUUCCGUGAAUCAUCGAGUUUUUGAACGCAAGUUGCGCCCGAAGCCAUUCGGCCGAGGGCACGCCUGCCUGGGCGUCACGCAUCGUUGCCCCCUCCUCAAGCCCAUCGCUCACGAAAUGGGCGACAAGCUUGUUGGGCGGGGGCGUACAUUGGCUUCCCGUUUGCUUGUCUUCCGGUUGGCCUAAAAUUGAAUUCCUUAGCUGCGAUCGCCGUGGCAAAUGGUGGUAUUCGAACAAAUCGUAACCCGCCACGCGCGUUUGUCAGCCUAACGGUCUGUAUAAACCCAAAUGUGUAACCCUCUUAGGGCAGCGCUUCCAACGCGACCCCMGGUCAGGCGGGAUUACCCCGCUGAAUUUAAGCCAUAUCAAAUUAAGCGGGAGGGAAAAAAAAACUUU